UGGGCCUAAGCAUCCGUAGCCGGCUGCUCAAGUUUCCGGUUAAAUCUAUGCGCUCAACGUAUAGGCCGCCGAAAAUACUGUGCAGCUAGGGAGUGGGAGAGGUACACGGUACUCAGUAGGAAGGGGUAAAAUCCUUUGAUCUAUUGAUGACCACCUGUGGCGAAGGCGGUGUACCAGAACACGUUCGAAGGUGAGGGAUGAAAGCUGGGGGAGCAAACCGGAUUAGAUACCCGGGUAGUCCCAGCUGUAAACUAUGCAAACUCAGUGAUGCAUUGGCUUGUGGCCAAUGCAGUGCUGCAGGGAAGCCGUUAAGUUUGCCGCCUGGGAAGUACGUACGCAAGUAUGAGACUUAAAGGAAUUGGCGGGGGAGCACAAG
This 376-nucleotide ribosomal RNA is filed under the name uncultured Nitrososphaerota archaeon. Its description in RNAcentral is "bacterial SSU rRNA". It matches the Rfam family "Archaeal small subunit ribosomal RNA", at positions 505 to 882 of the family's 1478-position model. Lineage: Archaea; Thermoproteati; Nitrososphaerota. The record is from RNAcentral.